UUGCUGUCAGUUGCCAUCAUUAAGUUGGGCACUCUGGCGGGACUGCCGGUGAUAAAUCGGAGGAAGGUGGGGAUGACGUCAAAUCAUCAUGCCCCUUAUGUCCUGGGCUACACACGUACUACAAUGGCUACUACAACAGGAAGCGAAGCCGCGAGGUGGAGCGAAUCCCCAAAAGUAGCCUCAGUUCGGAUUGCAGGCUGAAACUCGCCUGCAUGAAGUCGAAAUUGCUAGUAAUUGCAGGUCAGCAUACUGCCAGUCGAAUACGUUCCCGGGCCUU
Molecule: ribosomal RNA, 277 nt
Filed under: uncultured Oscillospiraceae bacterium
Lineage: Bacteria; Bacillati; Bacillota; Clostridia; Eubacteriales; Oscillospiraceae
Description: partial 16S ribosomal RNA
Rfam family: Bacterial small subunit ribosomal RNA
Source: RNAcentral